This 339-nucleotide ribosomal RNA is filed under the name Escherichia coli. Its description in RNAcentral is "bacterial SSU rRNA". It matches the Rfam family "Bacterial small subunit ribosomal RNA", at positions 632 to 970 of the family's 1533-position model. The record is from RNAcentral. RNAcentral also lists the same sequence under 1 other name. Lineage: Bacteria; Pseudomonadati; Pseudomonadota; Gammaproteobacteria; Enterobacterales; Enterobacteriaceae.
ACUGGCAAGCUUGAGUCUCGUAGAGGGGGGUAGAAUUCCAGGUGUAGCGGUGAAAUGCGUAGAGAUCUGGAGGAAUACCGGUGGCGAAGGCGGCCCCCUGGACGAAGACUGACGCUCAGGUGCGAAAGCGUGGGGAGCAAACAGGAUUAGAUACCCUGGUAGUCCACGCCGUAAACGAUGUCGACUUGGAGGUUGUGCCCUUGAGGCGUGGCUUCCGGAGCUAACGCGUUAAGUCGACCGCCUGGGGAGUACGGCCGCAAGGUUAAAACUCAAAUGAAUUGACGGGGGCCCGCACAAGCGGUGGAGCAUGUGGUUUAAUUCGAUGCAACGCGAAGAACC